AGAGUUUGAUCCUGGCUCAGAACGAACGCUGGCGGCAGGCCUAACACAUGCAAGUCGAACGCACCGCAAGGUGAGUGGCAGACGGGUGAGUAACGCGUGGGAACCUUCCCUAUGGUACGGAAUAACUUCGGGAAACCGAAGCUAAUACCGUAUAUCUCCUCCGGGAGAAAGAUUUAUCGCCAUAGGAUGGGCCCGCGUUGGAUUAGCUAGUUGGUAGGGUAAUGGCCUACCAAGGCAACGAUCCAUAGCUGGUCUGAGAGGAUGAUCAGCCACACUGGGACUGAGACACGGCCCAGACUCCUACGGGAGGCAGCAGUGGGGAAUAUUGGACAAUGGGCGCAAGCCUGAUCCAGCCAUGCCGCGUGGAUGAUGAAGGCCUUAGGGUUGUAAAAUCCUUUCGUCGGGGACGAUAAUGACGGUACCCGCAGAAUAAGCUCCGGCUAACUUCGUGCCAGCAGCCGCGGUAAUACGAAGGGGGCUAGCGUUGUUCGGAAUCACUGGGCGUAAAGCGCACGUAGGCGGACUUUCAAGUCAGGGGUGAAAUCCCGGGGCUCAACCUCGGAACUGCCUUUGAUACUGUUGGUCUCGAGUCCGAUAGAGGUGGGUGGAAUUCCGAGUGUAGAGGUGAAAUUCGUAGAUAUUCGGAAGAACACCAGUGGCGAAGGCGGCUCACUGGCUCGAUACUGACGCUGAGGUGCGAAAGUGUGGGGAGCAAACAGGAUUAGAUACCCUGGUAGUCC
This 740-nucleotide ribosomal RNA is filed under the name uncultured bacterium. RNAcentral describes it as "bacterial SSU rRNA". It matches the Rfam family "Bacterial small subunit ribosomal RNA", at positions 8 to 796 of the family's 1533-position model. The record is from RNAcentral.